CUUGGAACUGAAUCAACGUCUCCAGCUAGCACCCUGCACCUUUCUGCAGCCUUUUUCAGGAUACUUCCAGUGUGAGUUUCCUAGUCAGACAUCCUGAUGAUCCCCUGUGUAGCCUGACUCUGAGACAAGAACCUUAUUAUCUUCUGAUCAGAUUAAUUGCUCAGACGUGUACAGAAAGUAAAAUCUGUUACAGUGUGGAAGCACCAGCACCGAUCAGAUGAAAAUCCCCUAGGGAACUGCCUGUAAGUCUGACCAACAUUUUGUACUCAUACAAAAUGAGUUGUGUUUUAAGAUGAAAAGUGU
Molecule: long non-coding RNA, 303 nt
Filed under: Gopherus evgoodei (Goodes thornscrub tortoise)
Lineage: Eukaryota; Metazoa; Chordata; Testudines; Testudinidae
Description: lncRNA (ENSGEVG00005003659.1)
Source: RNAcentral